AGCAGCAGCCGCGGUAAUACGAAGGGGGCUAGCGUUGCUCGGAAUGACUGGGCGUAAAGGGCGCGUAUGCGGCGAUCAAAGUCAGGCGUGAAAUUCCUGGGCUCAACCUGGGGGCUGCGUUUGAUACUUGAUUGCUAGAGUGGGGAAGAGGGUCGUGGAAUUCCCAGUGUAGAGGUGAAAUUCGUAGAUAUUGGGAAGAACACCGGUGGCGAAGGCGGCGACCUGGUCCUUGACUGACGCUGAGGCGCGAAAGCGUGGGGAGCAAACAGGAUUAGAUACCCAGUAGUCCCUGUCUCUUAUACC
Molecule: ribosomal RNA, 303 nt
Filed under: uncultured bacterium
Lineage: Bacteria
Description: partial 16S ribosomal RNA
Rfam family: Bacterial small subunit ribosomal RNA
Source: RNAcentral